GGGAAGGUAGCUCAGUGGUAGAGUGCUUGUCUUGCAUGCAUGAGGCCCUGGGUUCGAUUCCUCAGCCCCA
RNAcentral lists this transfer RNA (70 nucleotides) under Dipodomys ordii (Ord's kangaroo rat). It matches the Rfam family "tRNA". Rfam says of the family: Transfer RNA (tRNA) molecules are approximately 80 nucleotides in length. Their secondary structure includes four short double-helical elements and three loops (D, anti-codon, and T loops). Further hydrogen bonds mediate the characteristic L-shaped molecular structure. tRNAs have two regions of fundamental functional importance: the anti-codon, which is responsible for specific mRNA codon recognition, and the 3' end, to which the tRNAs corresponding amino acid is attached (by aminoacyl-tRNA synthetases). tRNAs cope with the degeneracy of the genetic code in two manners: having more than one tRNA (with a specific anti-codon) for a particular amino acid; and 'wobble' base-pairing, i.e. permitting non-standard base-pairing at the 3rd anti-codon position. Lineage: Eukaryota; Metazoa; Chordata; Mammalia; Rodentia; Heteromyidae. The record is from Rfam by way of RNAcentral.